Molecule: ribosomal RNA, 430 nt
Filed under: Pseudomonadota bacterium
Lineage: Bacteria; Pseudomonadati; Pseudomonadota
Description: Proteobacteria bacterium partial 16S ribosomal RNA
Rfam family: Bacterial small subunit ribosomal RNA
Source: RNAcentral
UGGGGAAUAUUGGACAAUGGGGGGAACCCUGAUCCAGCCAUGCCGCGUGUGUCAAGAAGGCCUUAUGGUUGUAAAGCACUUUAAGCGAGGAGGAGGGUACUGGUAUUAAUACUACCAGGUACUGGACGUUACUCGCAGAAUAAGCACCGGCUAACUCUGUGCCAGCAGCCGCGGUAAUACAGAGGGUGCGAGCGUUAAUCGGAUUUACUGGGCGUAAAGCGUGCGUAGGCGGCUAAUUGAGUCGGAUGUGAAAUCCCCGAGCUUAACUUGGGAAUUGCAUUCGAUACUGGUUAGCUAGAGUGUGGGAGAGGAUGGUAGAAUUCCAGGUGUAGCGGUGAAAUGCGUAGAGAUCUGGAGGAAUACCGAUGGUGAAGGCAGCCAUCUGGCCUAACACUGACGCUGAGGUACGAAAGCAUGGGGAGCAAACAGG